This 684-nucleotide ribosomal RNA is filed under the name Elizabethkingia sp. Its description in RNAcentral is "bacterial SSU rRNA". It matches the Rfam family "Bacterial small subunit ribosomal RNA", at positions 67 to 751 of the family's 1533-position model. Lineage: Bacteria; Pseudomonadati; Bacteroidota; Flavobacteriia; Flavobacteriales; Weeksellaceae. The record is from RNAcentral.
CGGUAGAUUACUUUCGGGUAAUUGAGAGCGGCGUACGGGUGCGGAACACGUGUGCAACCUGCCUUUAUCAGGGGGAUAGCCUUUCGAAAGGAAGAUUAAUACCCCAUAAUAUAUUAUUCGGCAUCGGGUGAUAUUGAAAACUACGGUGGAUAGAGAUGGGCACGCGCAAGAUUAGCUAGUUGGUGAGGUAACGGCUCACCAAGGCGACGAUCUUUAGGGGGCCUGAGAGGGUGAUCCCCCACACUGGUACUGAGACACGGACCAGACUCCUACGGGAGGCAGCAGUGAGGAAUAUUGGACAAUGGGUGAAAGCCUGAUCCAGCCAUCCCGCGUGCAGGAAGACGGCCCUAUGGGUUGUAAACUGCUUUUAUCUGGGGAUAAACCUACUUACGUGUAAGUAGCUGAAGGUACCAGAAGAAUAAGCACCGGCUAACUCCGUGCCAGCAGCCGCGGUAAUACGGAGGGUGCAAGCGUUAUCCGGAUUUAUUGGGUUUAAAGGGUCCGUAGGCGGACUGAUAAGUCAGUGGUGAAAUCCGACAGCUUAACUGUCGAACUGCCAUUGAUACUGUUAGUCUUGAGUAAGGUUGAAGUGGCUGGAAUAAGUAGUGUAGCGGUGAAAUGCAUAGAUAUUACUUAGAACACCAAUUGCGAAGGCAGGUCACUAAGUCUUAACUGACGCUGAUG